GCCGGGUGCAGCGGUGCCCACCCAUAAUCCCAGCGACGUGGGAGGCUGAGGCAGGAGGAUCGCAAGUUCAAAGCCAGCCUCAAGAACUUAGCAAGCCCCUAAGCAACUCAGCAAGACCCUGUCUCUA
RNAcentral lists this small RNA (127 nucleotides) under Marmota monax (woodchuck). The record is from RNAcentral. Lineage: Eukaryota; Metazoa; Chordata; Mammalia; Rodentia; Sciuridae.